UUUCGAAGCUCUUAUCGGAUUCUAUUUUUAAUCUGUUUUUCACCGCUCUCACCGCUUGCGACUUAGUAUAAAAGUGAUUGUCAUCCUUCAAUUCCCUCAAAUUUGGUUCUCUGCUUGUCAAUCUCUACAUAGCGUGGCUGGAGACCUUGACAAUGGCCAUGCGGCCUCCAAUGAUGCUGUCACGCUCAAAGAAUCGGAUAGAGAGGGGAUUGACCAUAGAGAAUAACGAAUAAAAAUGGAAUCAAAUACUUCACUUCGUAUAUGGAGGACGAGAUGGGUGGAGAGGCAGACGAUGAGCCUCCUAACUCGGCUAGAGAGCUUGAGCCCGUGUGAUGGCCAACAGUGCAGUUUGUGGAAGCUGGAGGUUUGGGAUAGCAGAAGAGGAGCAGGGAAACGAUCUGGACCCUCCAUUCUUGCAAUGGGAACGUACUGGACCCUUGCAUAGAGAGUUUUUACCUUCUGUGUGUCUUUGACUCUGCGAAGGUGGUGUUAGACUAAAAAUAAUUUUAUAAUGCGGAAUAACACUUUAGAAACAAGAAUUGAUAGGUUUUAAUGUCAAGAAUAAUACCUCCAGCCAUUGAUGCUAUUCACUAUUUUUGUUGCGUUUCUCA
Juglans regia (Persian walnut) is the source of this 611-nucleotide long non-coding RNA. RefSeq lists it as uncharacterized. The record is from RefSeq and is a predicted model, not a curated record. Lineage: Eukaryota; Viridiplantae; Streptophyta; Magnoliopsida; Fagales; Juglandaceae. The transcript is spliced from 2 exons.